This is a long non-coding RNA of Vidua chalybeata, 945 nucleotides long. RefSeq lists it as uncharacterized. Lineage: Eukaryota; Metazoa; Chordata; Aves; Passeriformes; Viduidae. The record is from RefSeq and is a predicted model, not a curated record. The transcript is spliced from 3 exons.
ACAAUUGCUCAUUGCCCUCCAAAACGGCUACACUUUAAAAAUGCCAGCACUACUGACAGAGCAGCAGGUCUGACUUGAGGCUGAAGAUGAAAAAUAGCCUCCCACCUGAAUUCUGUGUUUGCAAAGUUUGCCAAAUAGCAGAGGCAAAUAGUUUUGAUUGCCAGCAAAGCUACUUUGUUAAAUUUCUCCUCUAGUUCAUUUUGGUCACUGGAGUCCCAUAAGCCAUUCCCCUGAUGCACUUCAUGUGCACAGAGCUGGUUUGAUCUGCCAGAUCCUAACUCGGCUCAGUUUGAAGAGUGGUGAGCCAGUUGAGGCUGACCUGCUUUGGAUCAUUUCCAUCCCUCCCUGCUAUGAAAGUGUGAUCUGCAGGGAUGCUUUAGCAGCCGCUACCUCCCAUUGAGCUUGAAAUGGUUAAGAGUCAGGCUUUGCUAAUAGCAAGCUUCAAUUUGUGGACCAGGCUUUUGCAGGAGUUCAGGGCAGCAUGUACAGACUUUUUCCACUGUUAGGAUAAGAAGUUGUUCUUUUUCUCCAUAAAACUGCAAAAAAUUCCCCAUUUUCUACUCUGAGAAAAUUCAUUAGAGAUCUGCAAGAAGAUCUCAAAAGGAAGAUUUUACUUGCUCUGGCUGUUUGAGCUUGUUAGGCUUGACACUCAACAGGAAGCUGAGGAAUCUUCAGGAAGUUCCUAUACAUUUACCAUAGGUACACACAUUUUUUUCUCAAAUGAGAGACAGAGGCCAGGCAGAGAAGCUAAAGUAGCACCUGUGUUUGGACAGCUGAAUCCAGCCCCACAGUAACUCAAAAAUGUCAAUCACCAGUAAGAACAGAUGAUCCCACAGGAAAAGAAUAGCUUAAAGCAUUGUAAUCUCCAGCCUUCACUUCAGCAGAAGAUGUCAGCUCCCUUGAUAUAAGGCAAUCCAGGGAUUGUUAAAAUAAACCUCACAAUGC